RNAcentral lists this unclassified non-coding RNA (376 nucleotides) under soil metagenome. RNAcentral's name for it is "partial contains 5.8S ribosomal RNA, internal transcribed spacer 2, and large subunit ribosomal RNA". The stretch from base 1 to 120 matches the Rfam family "5.8S ribosomal RNA", at positions 35 to 154 of the family's 154-position model. The record is from RNAcentral.
GAUGAAGAACGUAGCGAAAUGCGAUAAGUAAUGUGAAUUGCAGAAUUCAGUGAAUCAUCGAAUCUUUGAACGCAUCUUGCGCUCCUUGGUAUUCUGAGGAGCAUGCCUGUUUGAGUGUCAUUAAAUUCUCAACUACACUGACUUUGAAUUGGUGUGGCUUGGAUUUGGGGGGAAAAUUGUUGUGGGCUUUUUGUAUAGUCUGCUCCCCUGAAAUUGAUUAGCGGUACCUUUGUGGAACUGUCUACAGGUGUGAUAAUUAUCUACAUCUUAGACAUCUGCUGGAAUGCUGCUUUCUAAACCUUACAUGUAUUGACAAUCUUGACCUCAAAUCAGGUAGGACUACCCGCUGAACUUAAGCAUAUCAAUAAGCGGAGGA